Long non-coding RNA from Xenia sp. Carnegie-2017, 1702 nucleotides. RefSeq lists it as uncharacterized. The record is from RefSeq and is a predicted model, not a curated record. NCBI's taxonomy places the organism in Eukaryota, Metazoa, Cnidaria, Anthozoa, Malacalcyonacea, Xeniidae. The transcript is spliced from 2 exons.
UUGAAAUGCUCUCGAAGCAUCCGCUUCAAAUUAAGAAAUUUUUUGUCAAUAUCAAGCUCACACGACUGUUUAACCGGCAAUAUGUACAAUUUUGUAAAAUAUGUACGAGUUAAAAUUUAUCUUUGAAGUUUGAAAAACACAAAAAUACCUCAUUGUUAAGAGGUCUUAUAUUCCUGUCUCAAUUGGCUUCUUCAUGGUUAGUUCUCAGAUUUCAUGUUUAUAUGAUAUCGUGUGCCCUAUUGCCAUCAGUCCGGAACGCACGCGAUAUUUUGACAAACAGGGUUUGUUGUAAUGUCGAGCGUCGAGGUAAAAAGAAGUCGAGAGUGAAGGCGGUUUUCCUAUAGGGAGCCACGUCAGUUUGCGCGUGUCAAGAGUUGCGUCAAAACUAAAUUCUCGAAAGAUCAGAGGGAAUUAGGUACACCACAGCUAUCCACUAAAAUGCACAACAAGACUUAUCAGUUACGUUUGAUUUUGCUUAUCAGAAAAUUUGGCGACGAAGUGACUGCGACGUGAUGCAGGUCAUGUUGAUGAAGGUGCUCGUCCUCCGAAUGAGUGACGGGUAAAAAUCAUUGAGUUCUAUAAUAACUCAAUAUACUCAGUUAUUAUAGAACUCAAUGGUAAAAAUGAGAUCGGGAGAAUUUAUGAGCCCGCAAGGAGAAUGCCAGUGUGAAUUGCGAGUUUUAACACUCUUUCUUAAACCAUACUAUGAUUAAGUUUACGCCAAGUACUUUAAACGACAUGACAAGCACUUACGUUUGAAUUUGAAGGCUAGUUCUGGACACGCUCAAAAUGAAAAAAAGCAGAUGAAGAGUUAUCAUGAUACGUGCGAACAAAUAUACUCGUAGAGGAUUGGUUGAAAUGAACAAUUUAACUUUACGUUCAACUUCUGUCCUUACGCUUGACUUUUUAAUCUCCUUCUCCAUCUUUAACCCCUAUCCUCGACGUUUGCGCUCGAACCUCGAAAUUUAGCCAAAAAGGGUGCUUCCUGACAGAAGUAAAAAUAUAACCUUAUUGAGUGGGCUAACAGAACAUUAGUAAUCAGGAAACACUUCAAUUUGAUAUUUGUCUUUAGACGAGUUGUUUUUCCUAAUAAGGAGCCAAUUGCUUCUACUGAAUACCUAUUUUGGGUUGUUUGUUUUUUUCUCACACAACGAAUCGUGUCGAGGAUUCGAGGACACAGGCUUGUGAGCCAACAAUUUGCCAGGCGGGGACGUUAUAGCUAUAUUAUAUGAUUAACAGUAGCGAUCAGGCGAUGUCAGCACGAUAUUUUGGAGUGGGGACAUUCAAAUGCGCAUGUUUUGCCAUAUUUAGUUCCUUUGAAAUCAAAUGAUUUUUUUAUUGAACAUGAAUAUAUCAAUAUCCCCCGUAAUCUUCGAGCUGGCGGUGCAAGUGGAUAUUAAUCAUGCUAAUCUUCAUAAAAAGUAUCCAGACUUGUUAGUUAUUAUAAACUUCUAAAGGGAAAAUGAGCAUGAUGUAUACCAAUAAGCCAGAUAGAAACUUGAAAAUUUAAAAUAUGUCAAUGAUAAAAAAGCAAAGCUUACCACUUAAACAACAGGGGCGUGGGUGCCGGGGAUGUAAUCCAUGAUAGCGAGAAACCGUUGUGGCCCCGGGCCUUAUGGGCCCCUCACAUGAUAGUAAAAAUUAUAAAAGUUAACAAAUUAUUAAAUACACAACGGUUUAUUAAAGCUACUUUAGUACAAAA